Molecule: long non-coding RNA, 154 nt
Organism: Neodiprion virginianus
Lineage: Eukaryota; Metazoa; Arthropoda; Insecta; Hymenoptera; Diprionidae
Exons: 4
Source: RefSeq, a predicted model, not a curated record
AUCCAACAUCGAGGUCGCAAUUUUUUAUGUCAAUAAGAACUUUAAAAAAAAUAACGCUGUUAUCCCUAAGGUAAUUUAAUCUAAUAAUCUGAAAUAGAGGAUCAAAAAUUCAUUAAUUAAUGUUAACAAGCAUUUUAUUUUAUUUUACAUUCAU